CGUAACAAAGGUUUCCGUAGGUGAAGCUGCGGAAGGAUCAUUGGUCGAAACCUGCUCAGCAGAAAGACCCGUGAACAUGUUUUUACAAACACAUGUGGGGCAGCAGCUACUGUUGCUCCCCCCCUCAAAUCAACGAACACCGGCGCGGAUUGCGCCAAGGAAUAUGAACAUAAGCUGUAAGCCACAUGGGCCUCUCGUGUGUGCUUGCGGCAUCGUGUCGUUUUGAUACCUUAUAGAACGACUCUCGGCAACGGAUAUCUCGGCUCUCGCAUCGAUGAAGAACGUAGCGAAAUGCGAUACUUGGUGUGAAUUGCAGAAUCCCGUGAACCAUCGAGUCUUUGAACGCAAGUUGCGCCCGAAGCCUUCGGGCCGAGGGCACGUCUGCCUGGGCGUCACGCACCGCGUCGCCCCUCACCCCUUCAGGGUGUUGGGCGGAGAUUGGCCCCCCGUGUGCUUUCAGCGUGCGGUUGGCCUAAAUAUGGACCCUUGUGGCUGUGAAUGCCGCAACGAUUGGUGGUUUUUACUUCAUGGCCUUGUGCCAUCAAGCAUCUUGUUGCGACAUUUGUGGCCCUCGGAUUUCAAAGGACCCUAGAGGAAGCCCUCCCUUGGUAAGGGUGGGACUACUCAACCGUUGCGACCCCAGGUCAGGCGGGACUACCCGCUGAGUUUAAGCAUAUUCAAUAAAA
RNAcentral lists this ribosomal RNA (686 nucleotides) under Koenigia lichiangensis. Its description in RNAcentral is "eukaryotic LSU rRNA". The stretch from base 240 to 395 matches the Rfam family "5.8S ribosomal RNA". Lineage: Eukaryota; Viridiplantae; Streptophyta; Magnoliopsida; Caryophyllales; Polygonaceae. The record is from RNAcentral.